UCAAAAUCCUUAUUGCUGCUCUUUCACUGACUGUGUGAUUUUGAGAAUCCAAAUAAUGAGAACUUGAACAUUGUCUUACUCUGUAAUUUUAUUAUGAAGAAUAACUCAUGAAGAUGGUUCUCGGGUUUGGUAAAUUAAAAAAGGUAUGUAAUAAUAUUUACCUCUCAAAUUCAUUUUCCUCUAGGUUUUAUUUUUUUUAAUUUUUAAUUUUUUUAAGUUUAUUUAUUUAUUUUGAGAGAGAGACAGAGAGCACGAGCAGGGGGAGGGGCAAGAGAGAAGGGAUCCCAAGAAGGCUCUACACUCAGUGUGGAGCCUGACAUGGGGCUUGAACUCAUGAAAUGUGAUAUCAUGAGUUCUCAUGAUCAUGAAAUCAAGAGUCGGAUGCUUAACCAACUGAGCCACCCAGGUGCCCCAUUUUCCUCCAGGUUAAAAAAAAAUAAAAUUAAUAAUAGCAUUUAUGGAGUAUUUUUACAUAUCAAGUACUUAGCCUAGUACCUAGCAUAUUAAUAAACCCUUAAUAAAAAUUGAUAAUAAAAAUUAUCAAUACUGUAAUAAAACUUACAUAAUAUAUGCAUUAUUUUUGCUUCCAUUCGAUUGCAGUCAUAUUACUGUCUUUGGAUGAAGAUGCAUGCAGAUGUACACUCACUUAUUCAGCAAUAUUUGUUGAGCGACUACCAUUUAUCACGCAGUGUUCCUGGAGCUAGGGAUAUAGCAGUAAACAAAAAGGAGUUCCUACUCUGAUGAAGUUUAUAUUUUGGCAGGAGGGGGAGGAUUCACAUUAUCGUGGUGGAGAGGCUUAUAUUCCAGUGGGAGUUAGGCCAAGAUAGAGAGGGUAGAAGCAUGAUUAGGAUAUAUUUAGAAAAUAUGUGGAGAACUUUUUUCUGAUUUUUAUAUAAAAUAGUAUUUUAUUAUAUCAGUAGAUUAAGAACAAGCUAUUAAUUUUUAUAAAAAUAUUUAAAUGCAUACUUGUAUAUUUUAUUUUAAAAACAAAUAUACUGGGGCACUUGGGUGGCUCUGUCACUUAAGGGCCUGACUCUUGAUUUUGGCUCACAUCAUGAUCUCAUGGUUGGUGACAUCAAGCCCUGCAUGGGUCUCUGCACUGCUGAUAGCAUGGAGCCUGCUUGGGAUUUUCUCUCUCUGCCCCUUUUGUAUUCUUUGGGUAAAUACCCAAUAAUAGAAUUAUUGAAUCAUAUGGUAAUUCUAUUCUUAAUUUUUUGAGGAACCUCUGUAUUGUUUUCUACAGUUUUCUGGCAGUUUGCAUCUCCACCAACAGCACACAGGGUUCUUUUUCUCCACAUCCUCACCAAACUUAUUUAUUAUGUUUUUUAUUUUAGCUAUUCUGACAGGUGUGAACUGAUACCUCAUUGAUAUGAGAUGGUUUUGAUUUGCAUUUCCUUGAUGAUGAGUGAUAUUGAAUUUUUUCAUGUGUCUGUUGGCCAUCUGUAUGUCUUUUUUGGAGAAAUGUCUACUCAUGUCUUCUGACCAUUAUUUAAUUGGGUUAUUUGGUUUUUGGGUGUAGAAUUGUAUGAGUUAUCUAUGUAUUUUGGAUACUAACCCCUUCUCUUAUUCAGUAGGUUGUCUUUUUGUUUUGUUGAUUGUUUCCUUUGCUGUGCAGAAGCUUUAUAUUUUGAUGUAGUCCCAAUAGUUUAUUUUUGCUUUUAUUUCCCUUGCUAUAGGAGACAUAUCUAGGAAAAAUCUUCAACCUUUUUUAUUACAUGAAGCCCACAGGAUUCCUGGUUCUUCUUUUAAUGGUGAGGCCUCCAUGCUCUGCCUUUCUGUUGGAAAACCCUGUAAGGGUAAGAAACAAGAGAACAUUACAGGGGAAUACUCCCAGAAGAUGUCUCUGAUCUUGGAUUCCUUCUGUUUUACCAAAGGAAAAUUCAAACAGGUGAGCCUCUGACAUGAAGAGACCCAGGCAUAAGUCCACAGCAGCAUG
This 1936-nucleotide long non-coding RNA is filed under the name Lynx pardinus (Iberian lynx). Lineage: Eukaryota; Metazoa; Chordata; Mammalia; Carnivora; Felidae. The record is from RNAcentral.